UAUGGGGGUUUUGUCCGAUUUGAACGCAACGAACUCAAACCUCGAUGUUUGAACGACGGUUUUGGAGGGUCAAUGAAUAUUCAUGAGCAAUGACGUAAAAAAUACACCAACUACUGUUUGUUGAUUGGCCAUCGACAAAAUGUUUUAUGUAUUAGGUAAUGCAUAAAACAUUUUUUGCAUUCCCAGAAUUCCCUACGAUUUGAGCAAGAAAAUGACGAAAAAUGGCGGUUGUAUGAACUGCGACUUUGAAGUUUUUCAAUUACGAACAAUGAAACAUUUUUCUUGUAAGUGAAUUUCUAUUAUAAUAGAAGUUUGUCAAAUACAUCUCAGUUGAGCAGAAAAUCUUCAGGCGAACAUCGACAUCAAAGUGAUACCAUACGGAUACCAAAAAAAUCCUAUGCAACCAAAGCAGAUAAUGACCACAGAUGUGCAACAGACACUACCAGUACCUGAUCAUCAUAUGUCAUGGUGUAGAUCUCAGGAACAGGACACCUAAGUUGAACUCUGGCAAGGUUGUCCCAUGCAGAAGGUUCGAUACCCAGGCUUCUUUCUAUCCACUCUCAUCUUGAGAACUCUUGAGAUCUCUACAUCAGCACGCUACAUCACAAUGGGAAAUACAAGAGAGCCAGCAGUGUGACUGAGAUGAUCAGCACAUUUUAGUGGCAUACCUUAUCUACAAGGCACUCUGCAUGUAGACUGGGAAUUGUGCACAAGGUAGUCAAUGGUCUCUCUGCCUUUCCCUUGAAAGCCCUAUUUUCCUUCACAUAUCACAAACAUGGGAGAACCAAGCCAGAAGCGACAUAGAUCCGUUUGUAUUUGCCCAACGCUCCGUCCCAAAGUUUAAUAAUGGAACUGGCUUCCAGCAAAUGUAUGCCGACAGUCCUGCCAGGUCGAACUGCAAGGGACUACUCCUGAGGCAUCUAAUGCCCUUAUCCCAUUAAAAAAAUAUCAUCUGUCUUCCUCACACCCCUUCACUUGUUCAUCUAAUA
Strongylocentrotus purpuratus (purple sea urchin) is the source of this 989-nucleotide long non-coding RNA. RefSeq lists it as uncharacterized. The record is from RefSeq and is a predicted model, not a curated record. The transcript has 3 exons. NCBI's taxonomy places the organism in Eukaryota, Metazoa, Echinodermata, Echinoidea, Camarodonta, Strongylocentrotidae.